This 253-nucleotide ribosomal RNA is filed under the name uncultured bacterium. RNAcentral describes it as "partial 16S ribosomal RNA". It matches the Rfam family "Bacterial small subunit ribosomal RNA", at positions 524 to 776 of the family's 1533-position model. The record is from RNAcentral.
UACGGGGGGGGCAAGCGUUGUUCGGAAUUACUGGGCGUAAAGGGCUCGUAGGCGGCCAACUAAGUCCGACGUGAAAUCCCAAGGCUUAACCUUGGAACUGCGUCGGAUACUGGAUGGCUUGAAUUCGGGAGAGGGAUGCAGAAUUCCAGGUGUAGCGGUGAAAUGCGUAGAUAUCUGGAGAAAUACAGGUGGCGAAGGCGGCAUCCUGGACCGACAUUGACGCUGAGGAGCGAAAGGUAGGGGAGCAAACGGG